AUUUGGCUUGAUCGAUA
Molecule: small RNA, 17 nt
Filed under: Arabidopsis thaliana (thale cress)
Lineage: Eukaryota; Viridiplantae; Streptophyta; Magnoliopsida; Brassicales; Brassicaceae
Description: ATSL009810
Source: RNAcentral